This is a long non-coding RNA of Pongo pygmaeus (Bornean orangutan), 370 nucleotides long. RefSeq lists it as uncharacterized. Lineage: Eukaryota; Metazoa; Chordata; Mammalia; Primates; Hominidae. The record is from RefSeq and is a predicted model, not a curated record. The transcript is spliced from 2 exons.
CAGCUUUCGACACAGAUAAGAGAGGAAAGCCUUUCCAACCAGAUCAAAGAGUAUUUUCUAUCUGCAGUUGGUUGAAACCAGAGAUGCGGAGCGCAUGGAUACGGAGGGCUGACUGUACUUGGAACAUUUCUGUCACCAUGUGAACAAGCCUGCUCUAGCCAGGUGGAUGCUGAGAAACACGUGGCCCAGUCCUCUCCAACAUCCCAGUCAACAGCCGGCACUGCCAGAGACACGGCCAUCCAGCUCUCUGCAGCUGCCGAUAGAUUCACACGCAACCCCAGUCAAGGCCAGUAGAAUGGCCCAGUUGAGCCCUGUUCAAACUGUAACCCACAGAACCGUGACCAAAAUAAAUAGUAGUCAUUUUAAUCCA